Heterocephalus glaber (naked mole-rat) is the source of this 488-nucleotide long non-coding RNA. The record is from Ensembl. NCBI's taxonomy places the organism in Eukaryota, Metazoa, Chordata, Mammalia, Rodentia, Bathyergidae.
CGGACAUAUGAGCGGAAGUCUUGGAGCACUGCUGACCACUGCACCCUGUGCUCAUGAAUCCCCACUCCACUCUGCCUGAGGAGACGGGCCUUACCUUGCUCUCACUGCUUCCUCACAGGACUGGAGCCCAGGAGAUGUGGGAGCUUUGAAUGCUCGGGAGCUAAACCUGGCCUUAGCAGACUGACUGUGCCUUUUCCAAAGCCGCAUCCUUCUCCGACUCAUGAUAUAUCCGAGGCACGUGUCAAAGUCCACAUAAGACAAUGGCUUUGCUAUUGUCAACACCAGCAACUCAUAGGCAACGCCAGACCCAGCCUCUUCUGUCCAUCAGCUUGCUGCUGUACUGCAGAAUAACUACUUCAGUGCUGCUUAGGAGUUGAAGGAUUCCUGAUGUCUUCUGCAGCCUCUGGUGAGAAAUCUCUUCCAGAGCUUCAGACUUCUCAGCUGUAUACCCACCAUGACCUGAUUACUUGGAAAGCACCACUCUGCCC